RNAcentral lists this ribosomal RNA (467 nucleotides) under uncultured bacterium. Its description in RNAcentral is "partial 16S ribosomal RNA". It matches the Rfam family "Bacterial small subunit ribosomal RNA", at positions 28 to 506 of the family's 1533-position model. The record is from RNAcentral.
GACGAACGCUGGCGGCGUGCUUAACACAUGCAAGUCGAACGGAAAGGCCCUGCUUUUGUGGGGUGCUCGAGUGGCGAACGGGUGAGUAACACGUGAGUAACCUGCCCUUGACUUUGGGAUAACUUCAGGAAACUGGGGCUAAUACCGGAUAGGAGCUCCUGCUGCAUGGUGGGGGUUGGAAAGUUUCGGCGGUUGGGGAUGGACUCGCGGCUUAUCAGCUUGUUGGUGGGGUAGUGGCUUACCAAGGCUUUGACGGGUAGCCGGCCUGAGAGGGUGACCGGCCACAUGGGGACUGAGAUACGGCCCAGACUCCUAGGGGGGGCAGCAGGGGGGAAUAUUGCACAAGGGGCGGAAGCCUGAGGCAGCAACGCCGGGGGCGGGAUGAGGGCCUUCGGGUUGUAAACCGCUUUCCCCUGGGACGAAGGGGGGGUGAGGGAAAUGGGGAAAGAAGCACCGGCUAACUACGU